RNAcentral lists this transfer RNA (84 nucleotides) under Deinococcus cavernae. RNAcentral describes it as "Deinococcus sp. K2S05-167 tRNA-Leu". It matches the Rfam family "tRNA". Rfam says of the family: Transfer RNA (tRNA) molecules are approximately 80 nucleotides in length. Their secondary structure includes four short double-helical elements and three loops (D, anti-codon, and T loops). Lineage: Bacteria; Thermotogati; Deinococcota; Deinococci; Deinococcales; Deinococcaceae. The record is from RNAcentral.
GCUCGGGUGGCGGAAUUGGUAGACGCGCACGUUUGAGGGGCGUGUGACUUAGUCGUGAGGGUUCAAGUCCCUUCUCGAGCACCA